RNAcentral lists this transfer RNA (86 nucleotides) under Candidatus Doudnaibacteriota bacterium. RNAcentral describes it as "Candidatus Doudnabacteria bacterium tRNA-Leu". It matches the Rfam family "tRNA". Rfam says of the family: Transfer RNA (tRNA) molecules are approximately 80 nucleotides in length. Their secondary structure includes four short double-helical elements and three loops (D, anti-codon, and T loops). The record is from RNAcentral. Lineage: Bacteria; Candidatus Doudnaibacteriota.
GCCGGAGUGGUGGAAUUGGUAGACACGCUGGACUCAAAAUCCAGUGCAGGUUACACUGUGUGAGGGUUCGAGUCCCUCCUCCGGUA